AUCGAGAUGAUUGAAAGAAAAUGUAUUAUAUUUUUGAAAGUUUGAAACGCACUCAGCCGUUGUGUUAUUUCUUUCAAGCGUGUUUGUUUAUCAAGUGAAAAAGUGAAAAAAAAGUUCUGCAUGUUCUGUUCCGAUGAAGGUUUUGGGUCCUGCUGCUGUUUCUCCGUGAAUCUUCAUAACUUUUCCCAUCUGGGAGUACGUACUACCCCACUGGACCGGCGUUGGGGCGCUAUUCCAUCGGCGACUUCAAUAUCUCUUCCAAGGCUGCAGUGGCUCAUUCGACGCCGGAAGAGUUUACCUCCAGACGAAUGGUGGUCGAACGAAUGGAUAUUUUCGAUCUUCUGGAAGUUAGCGAGAUAUUUUCCAGCUUAAUAGAAACUAUUCCUAAUGAAAAAUGCUUCGCUUUUGGAGCCGCACGGAUUCAACAUCAACUAAUAAUGGAAAAUGUAUUACCUAGGCAGGAUCUGUUACACUCCACAAAAGGCGGUAUGGAGGGCGAUGCGGCUGAUUAGACGCACCCGUCACUCCAUAGCAAUUCGGAAAUUGAGAAUGCAUGAAACAACUCUCUCAACUAUGGUGGAAUCUCAUUGAUUACCCGAUAAGUUAUAGUAAAACUUCGACCAACUAGUUCAUUGUAUA
Molecule: long non-coding RNA, 639 nt
Organism: Aedes aegypti (yellow fever mosquito)
Lineage: Eukaryota; Metazoa; Arthropoda; Insecta; Diptera; Culicidae
Exons: 2
Source: RefSeq, a predicted model, not a curated record